UGGGGAAUUUUGGACAAUGGGGGCAACCCUGAUCCGGCCAUGCCGCGUGAGUGAAGAAGGCCUUCGGGUUGUAAAGCUCUUUCGGCGGGGACGAAACGGUCCGUGACAACACCACGGACUAAUGACAGUACUCGCAGAAGAAGCACCGGCUAACUACGUGCCAGCAGCCGCGGUAAUACGUAGGGUGCAGGCGUUAAUCGGAAUUACUGGGCGUAAAGCGUGCGCAGGCGGCUCCUUAAGUCAGAUGUGAAAUCCCCGGGCUUAACCUGGGAACUGCGUUUGAAACUGAGGGGCUAGAGUGUGGAAGAGGGGGGUGGAAUUCCAGGUGUAGCAGUGAAAUGCGUAGAGAUCUGGAGGAACACCGAUGGCGAAGGCAGCCCCCUGGGCUAACACUGACGCUCAUGCACGAAAGCGUGGGGAGCAAACAGGAUUAGAUACCCUAGUAGUCCCUGAGCGGGCUGGCAAGGCGCAU
This 472-nucleotide ribosomal RNA is filed under the name uncultured bacterium. Its description in RNAcentral is "bacterial SSU rRNA". It matches the Rfam family "Bacterial small subunit ribosomal RNA", at positions 355 to 825 of the family's 1533-position model. The record is from RNAcentral.